UUCUAUAUGUAUUUCCUCCACAGUGAUGUUCCUAAAACAGCAAGCUGGUCUCCCAUUUCCUGUGAGGUUCCCUUAGUAACAACUUCUGUUUACUACAUACAGUUCGUUAAUCAGAAAAAAGAACAAUGUGAGAUGUGCGCGCGUACUGUGGUUGGUUUAAUUGGUGCAUUGGUGUCUGUCAAUUGCUUGGUAGGUGUUCCCAUGUUUUAGGGACCCAUGGGGUUUAUGUAGGGAAUUUUAUUUUGCUUUCCAAAGUGUUCUCGUGCUUCUGGUCUUAACCUUUUGUACCCGUGUCAUUUUCAGACUGCUUAGUACUGUUUUGUUAUGGGCAACUGCAUAGUGCUGUUAAGGAAGCAGAAAGCUUCGUUGGUUGAAUUGAUUCAUAAUAUGGCACCUUUAUCUUCUGCUAAAUGCCGUGAUGCUAGAAGAUUUAUUGUUGGCGACCUCUGUAUGUUGCUCUACAUGUUUGUAUGAAUGGGUUUGUAUAUCUGUUCAUGUUACAAGCCGACACCGCUAUCAGGCAGCAUUAUAAGAAGUAAACGACAGACAAUAUGAGAUAUGAUAUGAGGGUUUCUUAAAUUAUUAUCUUAUUUUUGUCGUGGCAUUGCUAUGUGCGAAGAGGUCCUCUUGCCGUCUUGGUUGGGAAAAGCUGGCAUCGGGUUAGAUAUUCCUCUGUGUGUGGUAACAUAUACUCUCACAUGCAACCCUUAUUCUUACCAGUCUGUACACAGAACGUGAACAGAAUGACUGUGCUCAUCAUCAUUUUGAUGCAAUGCCGGUCAAAAGUAUAGUCUCAUGUAGCACCAUGAUUGCUGGGUACUCGUAGUGGAGAGGAUAUGCAAGUUCUGGUGCUUUUUUCAGUGAUGCACCAACAUGGGGUGCACAUGAGUGAAUUUACCUUUAGCAGCACUCUAUGUGCAUGUCCUGGAAAAUAUGCUUUGUGUAAAUGCAAGCAGUUACACGCCAUGGCCAUCAAGCUUGCACUGGACUCCAGUAGUUCUGUCAGACUGUAGUUCGUGAUGUUCAUGCAAAGCUUAAUAUGAUUUAAGGAUGCAAGCUGGAUUUGUUAAAAGAUGCCACAGAGAAUCACAGUUACAUGGAGCUUGUUGCUUGCAGGGUAUGCGCAUAAUGCUCUUCAGAUAGCGCAGUGCAAUGGUCGCUGGUUUUCUAGGCAUGCUCGCUCUUGAGGAGUUAAGAUUCUUUUCAAGGAAACGCAGCGGUUAAGGGUUUCUCUGAAUGAAGGUUGAUGUUUCUGGACGAGCUAGGAGGAUUGACAAGGCCUGGGAUUUGGUUCCAGUAACGGUGUUUGAACCUACUGCUUCUAUGUUGAGGAUCUUUGCCAGGGUAAUGCAGGAGCUACAGGAGAAUAAGAUUAGCCAGAAUAGUGACCGAACUUUUUUUCCAACUUAGACCUGACAAGGGUAGAAAUCAUGUUUGGCAUUCAGAUAUGUAUGCUGCCAGUCCAAAGUGGGAUAGUAUCUUGCCAACAGAGACAGAGCACCCUCUAUAAUACGUUAAAGGUAAUUUACCGUGAGAUGAGAAGAUCUCUUCACAGGGCCAGCUAACACAAUGUGACCUUCAUGUAUGUGCAUGACUACUCGAAGGGGGAGGCUGGAGCUGCUUAAACAAAUAUCUGUAGAUUCAACCAUUUUAAGGAUGAUUCAUGUUCUUGUGGGGACUUCUGGGGAUUGAGAACUGAAUGAGACCAAUCAUCUUGAGUGGUGCUCCCAUCAUGUAGCAAAUUAUUGUCCUGUGAGUAGUGGCUCUGCUGCUUUAAAGAUCCAUGUCGACUUAUAUUGUGAGAUUGGCCAUUCAAGUCAAUAAUGUCAUGCUGCUGACCCCAGUUGGUGUAAUAUCAGCAGUAUCAUCUGAACUGUGCACUGCAAAUGGUAGCCCAGAUGUGGGUCCUUGAUCAUCUGAACAGACUGAGUGACCUACAAGCUCUUAUCUUGUACAGUAGUUGCGCCAUACAUCAUAAGACAAUACCUACAUGUGCAAGAUUUAUUCAUGUAGAAAUGUGCUGGAAGUGGAUUUCUUUGUUCCGUGCCCCUGUUGAUUUGGGUGUCUCAGGAAAUGAUUCGCCGCAAUGCAAAUACUGGGCACUAUUGUCUAUGGGUGUGCUGCAGUAGAUAACUGCAGCAAUUGAUACACAUCUUGGUUUGCUCCCUUAUGAUUUCACCAUCCUCAUUGUUGUUUCCGAUCAAAGAAUGAUGAGCUAUGGAAAGUGGUAUUCUCCAUUCCCUCAUCAGUGUUCCCACUCUCAUGUGUUCUGCAAUUUGUUAACACUUACUCCCUCUGUAAAGAAAUAUAAGAGCGUUUAUAUCACUUAACACUAAAGUAGUGAUCUAAGCGCUCUUAUAUUUGUUUACGGAGGGAGUAUUUGUUAUUUCAUAUUUGAUACUGUAUUUCUCCUUGUUGCGUUGAACAUAAUUACUACUGGAAAAUGUACUGCAUCAAUGCAAACCUACUCUAUGUAGGAUUUAAAUCUAUUUU
Triticum dicoccoides is the source of this 2493-nucleotide long non-coding RNA. RefSeq lists it as uncharacterized. The transcript is spliced from 3 exons. Lineage: Eukaryota; Viridiplantae; Streptophyta; Magnoliopsida; Poales; Poaceae. The record is from RefSeq and is a predicted model, not a curated record.